UGCCAGCAGCCGCGGUAAUACGGAGGGUGCGAGCGUUAAUCGGAAUCACUGGGCGUAAAGCGCGCGUAGGUGGUUAUUUAAGUUGGCUGUGAAAGCCCCGGGCUCAACCUGGGAGGGUCAGCCAAAACUGAGUAACUAGAGGACAGUAGAGGAAAGCGGAACUCAUAGUGUAGCGGUGAAAUGCGUAGAUAUUAUGAGGAACACCAGUUGCGAAGGCGGCUUUCUGGCCUGAUCCUGACACUGAGGCGCGAAAGCGUGGGGAGCGAACGGGAUUAGAUA
This 279-nucleotide ribosomal RNA is filed under the name uncultured bacterium. RNAcentral's name for it is "partial 16S ribosomal RNA". It matches the Rfam family "Bacterial small subunit ribosomal RNA", at positions 506 to 784 of the family's 1533-position model. The record is from RNAcentral.